This 253-nucleotide ribosomal RNA is filed under the name uncultured bacterium. Its description in RNAcentral is "partial 16S ribosomal RNA". It matches the Rfam family "Bacterial small subunit ribosomal RNA", at positions 524 to 776 of the family's 1533-position model. The record is from RNAcentral.
UACAGAGGGGGCAAGCGUUGUUCGGAAUUACUGGGCGUAAAGGGCGCGUAGGCGGCCUUCUAAGUCGAACGUGAAAUCCCCGGGCUCAACCCUGGAACUGCGUCCGAGACUGGAAGGCUUGAAUCCGGGAGAGGGAUGUGGAAUUCCAGGUGUAGCGGUGAAAUGCGUAGAUAUCUGGAGGAACAUCAGUGGCGAAAGCGACUUCCUGGACGAAUACUGACGCUCAUGUGCGAAAGCGUGGGGAGCAAACAGG